RNAcentral lists this ribosomal RNA (503 nucleotides) under uncultured Glomus. Its description in RNAcentral is "SSU rRNA". It matches the Rfam family "Eukaryotic small subunit ribosomal RNA", at positions 569 to 1078 of the family's 1831-position model. Lineage: Eukaryota; Fungi; Glomeromycota; Glomeromycetes; Glomerales; Glomeraceae. The record is from RNAcentral.
AGCAGCCGCGGUAAUUCCAGCUCCAAUAGCGUAUAUUAAAGUUGUUGCAGUUAAAAAGCUCGUAGUUGAAUUUCGGGACUAAUAUGUCGGUCGUGCCUCGGUACGUACUGGUUUAUUGGUUUCUCCUUUCUGAAGAACCAUGAUGUCAUUUAUUUGGUGUCGUGGGGAAUCAGGACUGUUACUUUGAAAAAAUUAGAGUGUUUAAAGCAGGCUCACGCUUGAAUACAUUAGCAUGGAAUAAUGAAAUAGGACGUUUGAUUCUAUUUUGUUGGUUUCUAGGAUCGACGUAAUGAUUAAUAGGGAUAGUUGGGGGCAUUAGUAUUCAAUUGUCAGAGGUGAAAUUCUUGGAUUUAUUGAAGACUAACUACUGCGAAAGCAUUUGCCGAGGAUGUUUUCAUUAAUCAAGAACGAAAGUUAGGGGAUCGAAGACGAUCAGAUACCGUCGUAGUCUUAACCAUAAACUAUGCCGACUAGGGAUCGGAUGAUGUUAAUUUAAUGACUCA